ACCCAAACCCCAUCCCUGUCCGGUCGCUCACCGGUGUGUUCAGAUCCACCCCAGGCUUGUGUCUGCUGUAGGUAACUAGGACAAAGCUAUCAAACAUAGCAGUCUGUUCUUUUUUUUGAAGCCACAAAAAAACUGAAGACUGCAUGUUGCCUUAUCAGCACUCCUGUAUUCACUUACACAUACACUCACACACAUAAAACUGAUCAAAACACAAAAACACACUCUUCUCAAGCUUUUUUCUUUGAGCCUUUCUCUCUCUGUCACACACACACACACACACACACACACACACACACACACACAUAUACAGUAUAUACACACACAAACAAAUGUCCCACAUACCUUUUUAUGUUGACAUCAAAGCAGGCAAGCUAAUUUUAUAAACUAUAUAAGUGAAAUAAAGAGUUUUGUUGAAAUCUAUGCCACUGAGUCAAUUUUGAUUUUGUGAGAAGGAUUGGAGGUGUC
RNAcentral lists this long non-coding RNA (465 nucleotides) under Sinocyclocheilus grahami. RNAcentral describes it as "lncRNA (ENSSGRG00000042605.1)". Lineage: Eukaryota; Metazoa; Chordata; Actinopteri; Cypriniformes; Cyprinidae. The record is from RNAcentral.